UUUGGAUAACCAUACUGCUCAUCAGAGAGUGGAUCAUCUUUAUCUUCAUCCUCACCACCAUUCUCCAUCUGGUCAGCAUUGGCACUUCCAUUUUCCCCCAUCCCAGCGGCUUCAAAACACUCCCUUUUAGCAGCUUCACGCUCCUCUGCUGUAUAUGCUCCUUGGUCACUCUCAAUAAUAACCAAAAGUUUCUUCUUAGGUUGAAGCACAAACUUUCUUGGAGUGUACCUCAGAGGUAUUGCGGUUUCAUUAAAUGUCUCACCCAACCUUUCAAUGGUAAAAAUCCUCAGUGCAUCCCCAGCUACAGCCACAACACCUUCCGCACACUGAUCAGAUGAGAAUGAAGCAGCAAAUUCAAGAGUCUCAUAUGAAAGGGAUGUUAACAGGGAAUAUAACCAAGCCAGGGUCGACUUGAUAGGCACAACAUUGCACGUCGGCCUCUCACAAUAACGGAGAAGAGUUUUGGUGCCCUCAAGCCCAAGAACCGGGAACGAGAAUCAGAAAGCUGGCCUGUCACCAUGUCCACCACUGUCCUGAAUAGAACCCCAGACUGCAAACCAGCAUUAAGGAAAAGGCUAGCAGGGUGAUCAGCGCCAUCCUCCCCACCUACUGAUGCCUGAACCUCGAGAAAGAGGAGAGAUUCUGGAGGUGAUGAAACACUUUGAACACUCAAAAUUUGC
Molecule: unclassified non-coding RNA, 680 nt
Filed under: Hevea brasiliensis (rubber tree)
Lineage: Eukaryota; Viridiplantae; Streptophyta; Magnoliopsida; Malpighiales; Euphorbiaceae
Source: RNAcentral